Molecule: long non-coding RNA, 1071 nt
Filed under: Anser cygnoides (Swan goose)
Lineage: Eukaryota; Metazoa; Chordata; Aves; Anseriformes; Anatidae
Description: lncRNA (ENSACDG00005008029.1)
Source: RNAcentral
CGGGCCCUAGGCAGCAGCCCCAGUGACACAGCGGAAAGCAGGCGGCCUGCAGCACAGCCUCACGCCGCAGCACCGGGCACGGCGGGCACCUCACCUGCACGGCGGCGGCUUUCCCCCAAAAACCCGGGCCUGGGCAGGGAGCCGAGGUGGGUUUACACGGGGCCGGGUCUUCAAUCGGUGCCGUGCCGGUGGGUGAGGGGGGGGGGGGGUGGGGGGCAGGCAGCAGCACCGGGACAACAUCGCCCAGCCUCAGCCCUCACCCUGCCCCCGCUUCGGGGCCGGUGCCCGGCGCCAAGUUUGCGAGGCGCAGCGCGGCGGGGACGAGCCGGGCAAAGCCCCAGCAAAGCCCCGGCACCCGGCCGCUGUCACCCGCGGCCCCCUCAGACCGGCCGGGACGCGCAGCCACGCGUGUGGCGGGGCCCCCGGGCGGCCGCCCCCGCCCCCCGCCGCCCCCCCGCCCCUCUCAGCGCCCCCCCUCAGCGCCCGGUCCCCCCGCCGAGCCCGGACCCUCCUCACCGCCUCUUUCUCCACCUCAGCGGGGGGCUCCCGGCGGCUCCCCUCCCUCAGGCGCCGCCGCCCUCCGCGCGCGGGCCCCAACGGCGCCCUCACCGCCGCCGCCUCCGGCUCCGCGCCGCCGCCGCCUCCGCUCGGCUUCCCGGCCGCCUCCCCCUCCUCCUCCUGCCCCUCCGCAGCGGCGCCUCCCCGGCUGGCAGGGGCGGAGCGGGGCGGGCGGACAACGUCUGCGCCCCGCCGGGCCCGCGGCACCGCGAGGCGGGGACUGCAGCAGCGGGAGCCGCUCCCCCUGCCCGGCUCCGGCUCCCCCCUUCCCUCUCGUCUCCUCUCCUCGCCCCCUCGCUUUUCCCUUUGUCUCCCCCUGCUUUGUUCGCCCCCCGGGGCAGCCCGCGGCCGGGAGGUAGGAGAGGCUCUGCUCGGUCCUGCCUCGCCCUUCCCCGAAAGCGCCCCGCGGGGUCGCGCACCCCGACUUGGCCUUGGCCCUGUCCCCGUUCCUGUCCCCGUAACGGGGAGCAGGCAGCGCUGAGCCCCUGGGGAAUUCGCCGCUGCAGCAGAUGA